This 469-nucleotide ribosomal RNA is filed under the name uncultured bacterium. RNAcentral describes it as "partial 16S ribosomal RNA". It matches the Rfam family "Bacterial small subunit ribosomal RNA", at positions 28 to 507 of the family's 1533-position model. The record is from RNAcentral.
GACGAACGCUGGCGGCGUGCUUAACACAUGCAAGUCGAACGAUGAUCUCCCGCUUGCGGGGGUGAUUAGUGGCGAACGGGUGAGUAAUACGUGAGUAACCUGCCCUUGACUCUGGGAUAAGCCUGGGAAACCGGGUCUAAUACUGGAUACUACUUCCUGCCGCAUGGUGGGGGGUGGAAAGGGUUUUACUGGUUUUGGAUGGGCUCACGGCCUAUCAGCUUGUUGGUGGAGUAAUGGCUCACCAAGGCGACGACGGGUAGCCGGCCUGAGAGGGUGAGCGGCGACACUGAGACUGAGGCACGGCCCAGGCUGCGACGGGAGGCAGCAGGGGGGAAUAUUGCACAAGGGGCGGAGGCCUGAUGCAGCGACGCCGCGUAAGGGAUGACGGCCUUCGGGUGGAAAACCUCAUUCAGCAGGGAAGAAGCCAGAAGUGACGGUACCUGCAGAAGAAGCGCCGGCUAACUACGUG